Molecule: long non-coding RNA, 737 nt
Filed under: Phasianus colchicus (ring-necked pheasant)
Lineage: Eukaryota; Metazoa; Chordata; Aves; Galliformes; Phasianidae
Description: lncRNA (ENSPCLG00000001705.1)
Source: RNAcentral
ACAUGAAGGGCUGAUGGGACAAAGCAUCCCUCUCUGCAGAUCAUUCCCAAGCUCAGGUGCAGUGAGAUGGGGCAUGGAUUCCCUUGUACUAGGUACAACAGGAGGUAACACAAACACCUGAAAGGAGGGACGUAUUGUCAGUUAGCACUAUCACUGUUUUAGGAUGAGGUUUAUAACAAUCUUUGCAGACUGACUGAAUCACAGCUGUGGUUCCGUGGCCACCAUGGGUUGAAGAAGUUGUUAUGCUGAAAAUGAUGUGAAUGGACAUUAGUGAGCUCCUGCUAACCAAGGUGCUACUGCAUCAUUCUCCCUUCAUGAGCUGGAAGGUGAUGAAGUUAGGGGAAUAUGACCUGUAGCAGUUGUGUUGAAUGUGAAAAGUGCAGCGUGGUGCCUGUUGACUUUACUUACCUGACUGUUAUCUCUGAACUUCCUUGCAAUUAUAUGUAGUUUAAGAGGAAUUUCUCUAGAGAUCACAGAGAACCUUGUAGCUCACUGGAGCGAGCCAAGAAUACCAAGUUUCUGCUGUCUAUCAUAUCGUGCAGCAGAAGCUGGAUCCUUCCCUGUCACUCAGUUGUGAAGAAUGCCUCCUCCUUGUGUGCACACAUUUAUCUUCUGCUCAAAAGAAGCUGUUCCAGUUUCUCUGCCAUUCUGAGACAUCUGAAGCCCAGAAGAACUCCAUCACUGCAGCAGCUUGUCCAUGGGGGGCUGCUGCUGGGAUGUGCAGAGCUGGAAGGACA